RNAcentral lists this transfer RNA (75 nucleotides) under Microcaldota archaeon. Its description in RNAcentral is "tRNA-Lys". It matches the Rfam family "tRNA". Rfam says of the family: Transfer RNA (tRNA) molecules are approximately 80 nucleotides in length. Their secondary structure includes four short double-helical elements and three loops (D, anti-codon, and T loops). Further hydrogen bonds mediate the characteristic L-shaped molecular structure. tRNAs have two regions of fundamental functional importance: the anti-codon, which is responsible for specific mRNA codon recognition, and the 3' end, to which the tRNAs corresponding amino acid is attached (by aminoacyl-tRNA synthetases). tRNAs cope with the degeneracy of the genetic code in two manners: having more than one tRNA (with a specific anti-codon) for a particular amino acid; and 'wobble' base-pairing, i.e. permitting non-standard base-pairing at the 3rd anti-codon position. Lineage: Archaea; Nanobdellati; Microcaldota. The record is from RNAcentral. RNAcentral also lists the same sequence under 2 other names.
GGGCCCGUAGCUCAGCUUGGUCAGAGCGGCGGACUUUUAAUCCGUAGGCCGGGGGUUCAAAUCCCCCCGGGCCCG